RNAcentral lists this ribosomal RNA (482 nucleotides) under uncultured bacterium. RNAcentral describes it as "partial 16S ribosomal RNA". It matches the Rfam family "Bacterial small subunit ribosomal RNA", at positions 30 to 507 of the family's 1533-position model. The record is from RNAcentral.
AUUGAACGCUGGCGGCAUGCCUUACACAUGCAAGUCGAACGGUAACGGGCCUUCGGGUGCCGACGAGUGGCGAACGGGUGAGUAAUACAUCGGAACGUGCCCGAUCGUGGGGGAUAACGAGGCUAAAGCUUUGCUAAUACCGCACACGAUCUACGGAUGAAAGCAGGGGACCGCAAGGCCUUGCGCGGACGGAGCGGCCGAUGGCAGAUUAGGUAGUUGGUGGGAUAAAAGCUUACCAAGCCGACGAUCUGUAGCUGGUCUGAGAGGAUGAUCAGCCACACUGGGACUGAGACACGGCCCAGACUCCUACGGGAGGCAGCAGUGGGGAAUUUUGGACAAAGGGCGCAAGCCUGAUCCAGCCAUGCCGCGUGCAGGAUGAAGGCCUUCGGGUUGUAAACUGCUUUUGUACGGAACGAAAAGCCUUCUUUUAAUACAGGAGGGUCAUGACGGUACCGUAAGAAUAAGCACCGGCUAACUACGUG